CUACGUGCCAGCAGCCGCGGUAAUACGGAAGGUCCAGGCGUUAUCCGGAUUUAUUGGGUUUAAAGGGAGCGUAGGCUGGAGAUUAAGUGUGUUGUGAAAUGUAGACGCUCAACGUCUGACUUGCAGCGCAUACUGGUUUCCUUGAGUACGCACAACGUUGGCGGAAUUCGUCGUGUAGCGGUGAAAUGCUUAGAUAUGACGAAGAACUCCGAUUGCGAAGGCAGCUGACGGGAGCGCAACUGACGCUUAAGCUCGAAGGUGCGGGUAUCAAACAGGAUUAGAUACCCUGGUAGUCCGCACAGUAAACGAUGGAUGCCCGCUGUUGGUACCUGGUAUCAGCGGCUAAGCGAAAGCAUUAAGCAUCCCACCUGGGGAGUACGCCGGCAACGGUGAAACUCAAAGGAAUUGACGGGGGCCCGCACAAGCGGAGGAACAUGUGGUUUAAUUCGAUGAUACGCGAGGAACCUUACCCGGGCU
RNAcentral lists this ribosomal RNA (477 nucleotides) under uncultured bacterium. RNAcentral's name for it is "bacterial SSU rRNA". It matches the Rfam family "Bacterial small subunit ribosomal RNA", at positions 501 to 981 of the family's 1533-position model. The record is from RNAcentral.